UACAGAGGGUGCGAGCGUUAAUCGGAAUUACUGGGCGUAAAGCGUGCGUAGACGGCUAUCUAAGUCGGGUGUGAAAGCCCCGGGCUCAACCUGGGAAUGGCGAUGGUGACUGCAAGGCUAGAGUUUGGCAGAGGGGGGUAGAAUUCCACGUGUAGCAGUGAAAUGCGUAGAGAUGUGGAGGAACACCGAUGGCGAAGGCAGCCCCCUGGGUCAAAACUGACGCUCAUGCACGAAAGCGUGGGGAGCAAACAGG
Molecule: ribosomal RNA, 253 nt
Filed under: uncultured prokaryote
Description: partial 16S ribosomal RNA
Rfam family: Bacterial small subunit ribosomal RNA
Source: RNAcentral